Molecule: unclassified non-coding RNA, 230 nt
Filed under: uncultured fungus
Lineage: Eukaryota; Fungi
Description: sequence contains ITS1
Source: RNAcentral
AUGGAAGUUGGGCAGCAGGGCCAGCAGCGGCUCCCACCAAGGAGCUGAAUCUCUGGGACGUCCUGUGUUUGCUUAACUUGCACCGCAGCAAAUCAUGCUGCGCUGCUCCCCUCCCUUGCGUAUGCGUACCUUGUAUGUUUGUUUCCUCGGCAGCAUCUGCUGCCGGUGGAGGCCCCCAUUCAACCCUUUCUGUAAUAGUACUAUUCUUCUAGAAAAAACCUUAAUUAUUA